RNAcentral lists this ribosomal RNA (930 nucleotides) under Pseudomonas aeruginosa. RNAcentral describes it as "partial 23S ribosomal RNA". It matches the Rfam family "Bacterial large subunit ribosomal RNA", at positions 1 to 981 of the family's 2925-position model. Lineage: Bacteria; Pseudomonadati; Pseudomonadota; Gammaproteobacteria; Pseudomonadales; Pseudomonadaceae. The record is from RNAcentral.
GGUCAAGUGAAGAAGCGCAUACGGUGGAUGCCUUGGCAGUCAGAGGCGAUGAAAGACGUGGUAGCCUGCGAAAAGCUUCGGGGAGUCGGCAAACAGACUUUGAUCCGGAGAUCUCUGAAUGGGGGAACCCACCUAGGAUAACCUAGGUAUCUUGUACUGAAUCCAUAGGUGCAAGAGGCGAACCAGGGGAACUGAAACAUCUAAGUACCCUGAGGAAAAGAAAUCAACCGAGAUUCCCUUAGUAGUGGCGAGCGAACGGGGAUUAGCCCUUAAGCUUCAUUGAUUUUAGCGGAACGCUCUGGAAAGUGCGGCCAUAGUGGGUGAUAGCCCCGUACGCGAAAGGAUCUUUGAAGUGAAAUCGAGUAGGACGGAGCACGAGAAACUUUGUCUGAACAUGGGGGGACCAUCCUCCAAGGCUAAAUACUACUGACUGACCGAUAGUGAACCAGUACCGUGAGGGAAAGGCGAAAAGAACCCCGGAGAGGGGAGUGAAAUAGAACCUGAAACCGUAUGCGUACAAGCAGUGGGAGCCUACUUGUUAGGUGACUGCGUACCUUUUGUAUAAUGGGUCAGCGACUUAUAUUCAGUGGCAAGCUUAACCGUAUAGGGUAGGCGUAGCGAAAGCGAGUCUUAAUAGGGCGUUUAGUCGCUGGGUAUAGACCCGAAACCGGGCGAUCUAUCCAUGAGCAGGUUGAAGGUUAGGUAACACUGACUGGAGGACCGAACCCACUCCCGUUGAAAAGGUAGGGGAUGACUUGUGGAUCGGAGUGAAAGGCUAAUCAAGCUCGGAGAUAGCUGGUUCUCCUCGAAAGCUAUUUAGGUAGCGCCUCAUGUAUCACUCUGGGGGGUAGAGCACUGUUUCGGCUAGGGGGUCAUCCCGACUUACCAAACCGAUGCAAACUCCGAAUACCCAGAAGUGCCGAGCAUGGG